Molecule: ribosomal RNA, 932 nt
Filed under: marine metagenome
Description: bacterial SSU rRNA
Rfam family: Bacterial small subunit ribosomal RNA
Source: RNAcentral
ACCUCCUUAGGGAGAAAGAGGGCCUCUCUUGAUGCUCUCGCUAUUAGAUGAGCUGCGUAAGAUUAGCUUGUUGGUGAGGUAAUGGCUCACCAAGGCUACGAUCUUUAGCUGGUCUGAGAGGACGAUCAGCCACAUUGGGACUGAGACACGGCCCAGACUCCUACGGGAGGCAGCAGUGGGGAAUAUUGGACAAUGGGCGCAAGCCUGAUCCAGCCAUACCGCGUGUGUGAAGAAGGCCUUCGGGUUGUAAAGCACUUUAAGCAGGGAGAAAAAGCUAUAAGUUAAUACCUUAUAGCCGUGAUGUUACCUGCAGAAUAAGCACCGGCUAAUUCCGUGCCAGCAGCCGCGGUAAUACGGAAGGUGCAAGCGUUAAUCGGAAUUACUGGGCGUAAAGCGCGCGUAGGUGGUUUGUUAAGUUGGAUGUGAAAGCCCUGGGCUCAACCUAGGAACUGCAUCCAAAACUAACUCACUAGAGUACGAUAGAGGGAGGUAGAAUUCAUAGUGUAGCGGUGGAAUGCGUAGAUAUUAUGAAGAAUACCAGUGGCGAAGGCGGCCUCCUGGAUCUGUACUGACACUGAGGUGCGAAAGCGUGGGUAGCGAACAGGAUUAGAUACCCUGGUAGUCCACGCCGUAAACGAUGACAACUAGCUGUUGGGAGACAAUGUUUCUCAGUGGCGCAGCUAACGUUUUAAGUUGUCCGCCUGGGGAGUACGGCCGCAAGGCUAAAACUCAAAUGAAUUGACGGGGACCCGCACAAGCGGUGGAGCAUGUGGUUUAAUUCGAUGCAACGCGAAAAACCUUACCUACUCUUGACAUACUUGGAAGCUCUUGUAAUGAGAGUGUGCCUUUUGGAGCCAAGAUACAGGUGCUGCAUGGCUGUCGUCAGCUCGUGUCGUGAGAUGUUCCGUUAAGUCGGAUAACGAGCGCAACCC